RNAcentral lists this ribosomal RNA (117 nucleotides) under Streptomyces sp. PVA_94-07. The record is from RNAcentral. Lineage: Bacteria; Bacillati; Actinomycetota; Actinomycetes; Kitasatosporales; Streptomycetaceae.
UGCGCUGGUGAUCGCGCCGCUCAACCGGGAGCACGGGCUCGGGUACCUGAUCGCCGCCGUGAUCCUCGGCGGGGUGAUCCAGAUCGUGCUGGGGGCGCUGGGCGUGGCCCGGCUGAU